ACAACACGGGUUGCAGUGAGCGAGCUCAGGCGGGGGUGAGCGCGUACACGGCACCCUAUUUCCAGCGUUCCUAGCGGCGGAGGGCCGCAACUCGUGUUUUGACGUCUGCCAGGCUUUGAUAAAACGCUCACCCCCGCCUGAGCUAGCUCACUGCUGCGUUUUAAAUUUCAACAGUGCUUUGAAAUUGUUACUUUUUGUCUUCGUGUUUGGCGAAGAUGACAUCCUGCAUCUGAGAUCUAAAUAGCUACUUAAAAAAAUAGUUUAAUAGGCACACUGACAAAAUGAUUCGUAAGGGCCGUAAACCAACUCCACAAUUUCUAGACGAUGAAGAGGAUGAUGAUGAAAUACAAGAGGAUGAUGAUGAAAUGGAAGAGGAGGAGGAUGAAAUGCAAGAGGAGGAGGAUGAAAUGCAAGAGGAUGAAGCUGAAGGAUUAAUUACUCAAUAAUAUUGUCAACCUAAGAAUGUGUGCAUUUGCGUUUUUUUAAUAAACAGAAGUUUGCAAUUAAA
Long non-coding RNA from Daphnia magna, 508 nucleotides. RefSeq lists it as uncharacterized. The transcript has 2 exons. Lineage: Eukaryota; Metazoa; Arthropoda; Branchiopoda; Diplostraca; Daphniidae. The record is from RefSeq and is a predicted model, not a curated record.